This 465-nucleotide ribosomal RNA is filed under the name uncultured bacterium. RNAcentral's name for it is "bacterial SSU rRNA". It matches the Rfam family "Bacterial small subunit ribosomal RNA", at positions 330 to 792 of the family's 1533-position model. The record is from RNAcentral.
ACCAGACUCCUACGGGAGGCAGCAGUGAGGAAUAUUGGUCAAUGGCCGGAAGGCUGAACCAGCCAAGCCGCGUGAGGGAGGAAGGCGCAGAGCGUCGCAGACCUCUUUUGCCGGGGGACAAAAGGCCGGACUCGUCCGGUCCUGAGGGUACCCGGAGAAAAAGCAUCGGCUAACUCCGUGCCAGCAGCCGCGGUAAUACGGAGGAUGCGAGCGUUAUCCGGAUUCAUUGGGUUUAAAGGGUGCGCAGGCGGGGCCUUUAGGCGGGGGGGAAAUCCGGGGGGCCCACCCCCGCCGAGCCGUCGGAACUGGGGGCCUUGAGUGCGGCGGAGGCAUGCGGAAUGCGCGGUGUAGCGGUGAAAUGCAUAGAUAUCGCGCAGAACCCCGAUUGCGAAGGCAGCAUGCCGGCUCCACACUGACGCUGAGGCACGAAAGCGUGGGUAUCGAACAGGAUUAGAUACCCGAGUA